GUUGGUCGUGAGGCUGACGAAAGUUGAGCAGGCUGAGCUAGGCUUUUGUCUCUAUUCCAAACUUGACCUCAAUCAGGUAGGACUACC
This 87-nucleotide ribosomal RNA is filed under the name Butyriboletus primiregius. RNAcentral's name for it is "partial 28S ribosomal RNA". Lineage: Eukaryota; Fungi; Basidiomycota; Agaricomycetes; Boletales; Boletaceae. The record is from RNAcentral.